CCUUUAGAGGCACAAAAGAGUAAAAAUUCCAGAAAUUUUCCAGGUGCAAAGAAGAAACACCGAAAGGAGAUGAUUGCUGUCAAACGUCGUGAAAGAAUCCUGCGAAGGGGAGUUGAUCUUGAGAAAAUAAAUACGAAAUUGGAACAGAUUGUUUUGGAUGAGGUGGACAUGUUUGCUUUCCAACCUAUGCAUUCCCGUGAUUGUUCCCAGAUACAACGAUUAGCAGCAAUUUACCGUUUGCGCAGUGGUUGCCAAGGUUCGGGUAAGAAAAGAUUUUUAACAGUGACAAGAACUCAGCACACAAGCAUGCC
This 311-nucleotide unclassified non-coding RNA is filed under the name Hevea brasiliensis (rubber tree). Lineage: Eukaryota; Viridiplantae; Streptophyta; Magnoliopsida; Malpighiales; Euphorbiaceae. The record is from RNAcentral.